AUUGAACGCUGGCGGCAGGCCUAACACAUGCAAGUCGAACGAGUGGCGGACGGGUGAGUAAUGUAUGGGACACUGCCCGAUGGAGGGGGAUAACUACUGGAAACGGUAGCUAAUACCGCAUACCAUCGGGUGUGCCCAGAUGGGAUUAGCUAGUAGGAGGGGUAACGGCACACCUAGGCGACGACCCCUAGCUGGUCUGAGAGGAAGACCAGCCACACUGGAACUGAGACACGGUCCGGACUCCUACGGGAGGCAGCAGUGGGGAAUAUUGCACAAUGGGCGCAAGCCUGAUGCAGCCAUGCCGCGUGUAUGAAGAAGGCCUUCGGGUUGUAAAGUACUUUCAGCGAGGAGGCGUUACUCGCAGAAGAAGCAUCGGCUAACUCCGUGCCAGCAGCCGCGGUAAUUC
RNAcentral lists this ribosomal RNA (406 nucleotides) under uncultured bacterium. RNAcentral's name for it is "partial 16S ribosomal RNA". It matches the Rfam family "Bacterial small subunit ribosomal RNA", at positions 30 to 526 of the family's 1533-position model. The record is from RNAcentral.